This 561-nucleotide ribosomal RNA is filed under the name Labyrinthulida sp. B4. RNAcentral describes it as "partial 18S ribosomal RNA". It matches the Rfam family "Eukaryotic small subunit ribosomal RNA", at positions 512 to 1120 of the family's 1831-position model. Lineage: Eukaryota; Bigyra. The record is from RNAcentral.
GAAUAAAGGGGGGGCCCCCCCCGCUGGGGGGGGCGUACAGUAAAGUCGUUUAAGUUAAAAACUUGGGACUAUAAUCCCCGCGGGACCGAACGAGAUGAAUUUGUUUGGUGGUGGGGUCGGAGUUAUAUAGACAACGUGGGGCAAUCCUUUUCCAAGCAUUAAUUUAUGGGGGAGGACAACCGUGCGUUUGUUUAUCAUAUAAAAAUCCCCGCGUCUUUACUGCCGGCAUUAGCAAGAAAACCUUCCGCAAGGAAUUAUUAGAUAGGGCUUUGGUACUAUUUUCGUGGUUUGCACCCCAAAUUAAUGAUCAACAGGAACCGUUUGACGGAUAUUCGUAUGAACAUGUCAGGGGGGAAAUUCCCGGAUUUUGAUCAGACGAACUUCUGGGAAAGCAUUUAUCAAGGAUGUUUUCAUUAAUCAAGAACGAAAGUUAGGGGAUUGAAGAUGAUUAGAAACCAUCGGAGUCUUAACCCUAAACUAUGCCGACUAGGGAUUGGCGGACGUGGGGAAAAUGAAUUCCCCAGCACCUCAUGAGAAAUCAAAGUCGUUGGGUUCCCGGGG